ACCUGGCUGGCUCAGUCAGAAAAGCAUGUGAUUCUUGAUCUCAGAGUUGUGAGUUCAAGCCCACGUUGGGUG
RNAcentral lists this transfer RNA (72 nucleotides) under Ailuropoda melanoleuca (giant panda). It matches the Rfam family "tRNA". From Rfam's summary of the family: Transfer RNA (tRNA) molecules are approximately 80 nucleotides in length. Their secondary structure includes four short double-helical elements and three loops (D, anti-codon, and T loops). The record is from Rfam by way of RNAcentral. Lineage: Eukaryota; Metazoa; Chordata; Mammalia; Carnivora; Ursidae.